This 528-nucleotide ribosomal RNA is filed under the name uncultured Vagococcus sp. RNAcentral's name for it is "bacterial SSU rRNA". It matches the Rfam family "Bacterial small subunit ribosomal RNA", at positions 984 to 1515 of the family's 1533-position model. Lineage: Bacteria; Bacillati; Bacillota; Bacilli; Lactobacillales; Enterococcaceae. The record is from RNAcentral.
ACAUCCUUUGACCACUCACAGAUAGAGCUUUCCCUUCGGGGACAAACUGACAGGUGGUGCAUGGUGUCGUCAGCUCGUGUCCUGAGAUGUUGGGUUAAGUCCCGCAACGAGCGCAACCCUUAUUGUUAGUUGCCAUCAUUAAGUUGGGCACUCUAGCGAGACUGCCGGUGACAAACCGGAGGAAGGUGGGGAUGACGUCAAAUCAUCAUGCCCCUUAUGACCUGGGCUACACACGUGCUACAAUGGACAGUACAAUGAGCAGCGACACGGCGACGUGAAGCGAAUCUCAUAAAGCUGUUCUCAGUUCGGAUUGUAGGCUGCAACUCGCCUACAUGAAGCCGGAAUCGCUUGUAAUCGCGGAUCAGCACGCCGCGGUGAAUACGUUCCCGGGCCUUGUACACACCGCCCGUCACACCACGAAAGUUUGUAACACCCGAAGUCGGUGAGGUAACCGCAAGGAGCCAACCGCCUAAGGUGGGAUAGAUGAUUGGGGUGAAGUCGUAACAAGGUAACCAAGGGCGAAUUCUG